GGAAAGAUAAGCUAAAUAAGCUAUUGGGCUCAUGCCCCGAAAAUGGUUAAAACCUCUUUCUA
RNAcentral lists this transfer RNA (62 nucleotides) under Clymenella torquata (bamboo worm). RNAcentral's name for it is "tRNA-Met". Lineage: Eukaryota; Metazoa; Annelida; Polychaeta; Maldanidae. The record is from RNAcentral.